GAAGGCUUUAAACUGAAAGAGGGUAGAUUUAGACUGGACAUAUGGAAAAAAUUCACUAUAAGGGUGGUGAGGCACUGAAACAGGUUGCCCAGAAAGGUUGGUUGCCGUAUCAUUGGAAAUGUUGCAAGUUAGUUUGGAUGAGGCUUUAAGCAACCUGAUCUGGUGGAAGAUACUCCUGCCUGGGGCAGGGGAGUUAGAAAUAAAUGAUAUUUAAAGGUGUCUUUCAUCCCAAACCACUCUGUAAUUCUUAGUAUGACGAAGUCAAGAUUCACUUGGAUCAAACAUUGGAACAUGGUGGUUGUACUUUCUCCAUCUUUGGAGCUUUUUGGGUGCACACUGGCUGAAGCCCUGAGCAUGCUGGUAUGACCCCAUGGCUAAUACUGUUCUGAGUCAGGCUGAGGACCUCCAGGAGCUUAUCCUCGAUUUCUUUAUGCUUUCCUUUUCUUUAGUUUCAUUUUUUUAGAGUAGAGUAUGACGAGAAAUCACUGGAAUGCUUGUUUCUGCCAUCUCUGUUCUUUGCCACUUCACAUUUUAAGUAGAUCUAGAAAUUAACAAUUCAAACGUGUCAUUUCUUUUAAAAAAAAAAAAAAUCACCAGUGAUGUUGAUAAAAGUUGGAUUAGGCUGAAAUUUCCUCCUUUCUGAGGAAACAAAAUACCAGAAUCAGGUAAAGAGUUAAGUGGCAAUUCUUAGCCAAAGAUAUGUGACAUCUACCAUAAAGUGAAAGAAGGAUUUUGAAUAGCAUAUAAUGUAAGAAUAGCAUAUAAUGUAAAUUACCUAUGCAUCUCCUGUAAAAUUGUUCGGUCCCCUUUACUUGGUGUGAAAGGAACUGACCAUCUCUUCAUUUCCCACAAUUGGCUUGCAUUUCCAUCUUUUCUCCUCCAGCUAAAGGCAACUUUUAGUGUUUUUAAAAUAAAUAAAUAAAAUAAUAAUAAAUCUU
Oxyura jamaicensis (ruddy duck) is the source of this 938-nucleotide long non-coding RNA. RefSeq lists it as uncharacterized. The transcript is spliced from 2 exons. NCBI's taxonomy places the organism in Eukaryota, Metazoa, Chordata, Aves, Anseriformes, Anatidae. The record is from RefSeq and is a predicted model, not a curated record.